This 341-nucleotide ribosomal RNA is filed under the name Balneolaceae bacterium. RNAcentral describes it as "bacterial SSU rRNA". It matches the Rfam family "Bacterial small subunit ribosomal RNA", at positions 1194 to 1533 of the family's 1533-position model. Lineage: Bacteria; Pseudomonadati; Balneolota; Balneolia; Balneolales; Balneolaceae. The record is from RNAcentral.
CAUGCCCCUUAUGUCUUGGGCUUCACGCAUGCUACAAUGGCCGGUACAGAGGGCUGCAAUACCGCAAGGUGGAGCGAAUCCCAAAAAGCCGGUCUCAGUUCGGAUUGAGGUCUGCAACUCGACCUCAUGAAGUCGGAGUCGCUAGUAAUCGUAGAUCAGCAACGCUACGGUGAAUACGUUCCCGGGCCUUGUACACACCGCCCGUCAAGUCACGAAAGUCGGUAACACCCGAAGCCGGUGGCCCAACCUUUUGGAGGGAGCCGUCUAAGGUGGGACUGGUAAUUGGGACUAAGUCGUAACAAGGUAGCCGUACCGGAAGGUGCGGCUGGAUCACCUCCUUU